GGGCUCGUUUUGGCAGCACAUAUACUAAAACUGGAAUGAUACAGAGAAGAUUGCAUGGCCCCUGUGCAAGGAUGACAUGCAAAUUGGUGAGCUGUUCCAUAGUUUU
This 106-nucleotide small nuclear RNA is filed under the name Carlito syrichta (Philippine tarsier). Lineage: Eukaryota; Metazoa; Chordata; Mammalia; Primates; Tarsiidae. The record is from RNAcentral.